RNAcentral lists this ribosomal RNA (402 nucleotides) under bacterium. RNAcentral describes it as "partial 16S ribosomal RNA". It matches the Rfam family "Bacterial small subunit ribosomal RNA", at positions 355 to 776 of the family's 1533-position model. The record is from RNAcentral.
UGGGGAAUUUUGCACAAUGGGGGAAACCCUGAUGCAGCGACGCCGCGUGAUUUAGAAGGCCUUCGGGUUGUAAAAAUCUUUUUUACGGGAUGAAAAUGACAGUACCGUAAGAAUAAGGUCCGGCUAAAUACGUGCCAGCAGCCGCGGUAAUACGUAUGGACCGAGCGUUGUCCGUAAUCAUUGGGCGUAAAGGGUACGUAGGCGGCCUAGUAAGUUAGAAGUGAAAUAAUAUAGCUCAACUAUAUAAAGCUUUUAAAACUGCUAGGCUUGAGAGAUGGAAGGGAAAGUGGAAUUCCUAGUGUAGCGGUGAAAUGCGCAGAUAUUAGGAAGAAUACCGGUGGCGAAGGCGACUUUCUGGUCAUCAUCUGACGCUGAGGUACGAAAGCGUGGGUAGCAAACAGG